CUCAGAGAAUCUAUCUUACUGGUUUUCGCCAAUAAGCAGGAUCUGCCCAACGCUAUGAGUGCUGCGGAGAUGACUGAUAAGCUUGGUCUGCACGGCCUCCGCCACAGACAGUGGUA
Molecule: non-coding RNA, 116 nt
Filed under: Durinskia baltica
Lineage: Eukaryota; Dinophyceae; Peridiniales; Kryptoperidiniaceae
Source: RNAcentral